GGCUCUGUGGUUUAGUGGUAUGGCAUUCGCUUAGCAUUCUUUCAAUUAGUCUGCCUGCGAAGGGUCCGACGUUCAAUUCGCCGCUUGUCUA
Molecule: non-coding RNA, 91 nt
Organism: Sphaerobolus stellatus SS14
Lineage: Eukaryota; Fungi; Basidiomycota; Agaricomycetes; Geastrales; Sphaerobolaceae
Source: the annotation of a GenBank genome assembly